GACGAACGCUGGCGGCGUGCCUAAUACAUGCAAGUUGAGCGCUGAAGGUUGGUACUUGUACCGACUGGAUGAGCAGCGAACGGGUGAGUAACGCGUGGGGAAUCUGCCUUUGAGCGGGGGACAACAUUUGGAAACGAAUGCUAAUACCGCAUAAAAACUUUAAACACAAGCUUUAAGUUUGAAAGAUGCAAUUGCAUCACUCAAAGAUGAUCCCGCGUUGUAUUAGCUAGUUGGUGAGGUAAAGGCUCACCAAGGCGAUGAUACAUAGCCGACCUGAGAGGGUGAUCGGCCACAUUGGGACUGAGACACGGCCCAAACUCCUACGGGAGGCAGCAGUAGGGAAUCUUCGGCAAUGGACGAAAGUCUGACCGAGCAACGCCGCGUGAGUGAAGAAGGUUUUCGGAUCGUAAAACUCUGUUGGUAGAGAAGAACGUCGGUGAGAGUGGAAAGCUCAUCAAGUGACGGUAACUACCCAGAAAGGGACGGCUAACUACGUG
RNAcentral lists this ribosomal RNA (497 nucleotides) under uncultured bacterium. RNAcentral's name for it is "partial 16S ribosomal RNA". It matches the Rfam family "Bacterial small subunit ribosomal RNA", at positions 28 to 507 of the family's 1533-position model. The record is from RNAcentral.